AAAUAUAUUUUACUUAAUUAAUUGACAAACAAAUACACGUGAACUUAACUUGAUGAAUUAGGGUAUGGCUAUUCUUUGAGAUGGGCACUGGGGUAGAUAGACUCGUUAUAGUCUGCGUUAUAUUUGUCUCUGACCUCACCAAACAAGGCGGGGCUCUAAACAGGUGUGUUACACAGGUGUAAGGAGAGGAAAUGCAUGUCUUGAAAAACAAGUCAAUUCUUCCCCUGUCGCUAUCCAAAGGCAUACCACCAAGAGUCAAAGCAUGGCCUCGAACUGCGUGGGAACCUGCAUACCGUUAUUCGUUCUCGGUAUAGUUUUCGACGUUGUUGGUUUGAUAGUCUUACUAGUGGGAAUUUUUGGAAAUUUGCAUCUGAACGGGAGAUUUUAUGGAGACUUUUUAAUAUACACCGGCUCAAUCAUCGUCUGUCUCAGUUUGAUUUGGUGGAUAAUGUGGUACACAGGAAACAUCAAAGACUUGUCUCAGGAUUAUGACAAGAGCAGUCUGGACAGUUUUGCACAAUGGGUUGGAAAGUUUUCCGAAAGGCUUUCUAAGAGUGGAAUUAAAACUUUGAAGGCAGGAGAGAAGUGUAUUGGCAAGGAGUCGAUGAACGGAACAGUGCACGCUUCAACAAAAAUACGUUGGGAGAAUUCAGUAGUCGUUGGAUACGAUAACGAAGGAUAUGAGCAAAGUCUAGACUCUCCAGUGGAGAAAACUGUGGAACUGGGUAUUUUGAAGAAUUCCGAAGAACUGUUGCAGAUCAGUGUAGACGGGAAAGUUGAACUGUAGCCCUUACAGGAGGUCACUGGCUGCCUUUCACAUCAGCACUUACAAGACUGAACAUGGCAUUUUAAUGUUCUUAAUCUCUCUUUUUGGAUGGGUCUUUGAAGAAUCGCUGCUUUUAUUCUGUGGAUCAAGGGACGUUGCACAUUUCAGCGGAUAUAUGAACAUUUCAUUUGUAAAUUGUAAUUAUUUCAAUUAUGUAUUUUAUGUAUAUUAAAUAAAACAACUAUAUUUUUUAAA
This is a long non-coding RNA of Clupea harengus (Atlantic herring), 1021 nucleotides long. RefSeq lists it as uncharacterized. NCBI's taxonomy places the organism in Eukaryota, Metazoa, Chordata, Actinopteri, Clupeiformes, Clupeidae. The record is from RefSeq and is a predicted model, not a curated record.